Molecule: non-coding RNA, 970 nt
Filed under: Syntheosciurus brochus (Bangs's mountain squirrel)
Lineage: Eukaryota; Metazoa; Chordata; Mammalia; Rodentia; Sciuridae
Description: 12S ribosomal RNA
Rfam family: Bacterial small subunit ribosomal RNA
Source: RNAcentral
CAUAGGUUUGGUCCUGGCCUUUUUAUUAGUUUUUAGUAGACUUACACAUGCAAGUAUCCUCGCCCCAGUGAGAAUGCCCUCUACAUCCAUAAGGAUUUAAAGGUGCAGGUAUCAAGUACGCUCCUCCUCGAGCAGCUCAUGACACCUUGCUAUACCACACCCCCACGGGAGACAGCAGUGAUUAAAAUUGAGACAUAAACGAAAGUUUGACUGAGUCAUACUAAUAUCAGGGUUGGUAAAUUUCGUGCCAGCCACCGCGGUCACACGAUUAACCCUAAUUAAUAAAGCACGGCGUAAAGCGUGAUUAAGGUUUGACCCUAAAUAAGAUUAAGCUCUAACUAAGCUGUAAAAAGCCCUAGUUAAAAUAAAAAUAUAUAACGAAAGUAAUCUUAUAACCCCUGAAUUCACGAUAGCUAAGGCCCAAACUGGGAUUAGAUACCCCACUAUGCUUAGCCCUAAACAUAAAUAUUCAACUAACAAGAAUGUUCGCCAGAGAACUACUAGCCACUGCUUAAAACUCAAAGGACUUGGCGGUGCUUUACACCCCUCUAGAGGAGCCUGUUCUAUAAUCGAUAAACCCCGUUAAACCUAACCACUCUUUGCAAUGUCAGCCUAUAUACCGCCAUCUUCAGCAAACCCUAACAAGGUACUAUAGUAAGCACAAUAAUUCCACAUAAAAACGUUAGGUCAAGGUGUAGCCCAUAGAGUGGGAAGAAAUGGGCUACAUUUUCUAAUUCCUAGAACAUUUUCACGACAGCUGUCAUGAAAUAUGACUAGCCCAAGGUGGAUUUAGUAGUAAGCUGGGAAUAGAGUGCCCAGCUGAAUUGGGCAAUAAAGCACGCACACACCGCCCGUCACCCUCUUCAAGCACCUAAGAUUUGCUUCACAUAACUAAUAUAAUCAAUCUCCUAAAUGCAAGAAGAGAUAAGUCGUAACAAGGUAAACAUACUGGAAAGUGUGUUUGGAAUAU